RNAcentral lists this ribosomal RNA (440 nucleotides) under uncultured bacterium. RNAcentral describes it as "partial 16S ribosomal RNA". It matches the Rfam family "Bacterial small subunit ribosomal RNA", at positions 338 to 795 of the family's 1533-position model. The record is from RNAcentral.
CCUACGGGAGGCAGCAGUGGGGAAUAUUGCACAAUGGGGGAAACCCUGAUGCAGCGACGCCGCGUGAAGGAUGAAGUAUUUCGGUAUGUAAACUUCUAUCAGCAGGGAAGAAAAUGACGGUACCUGAGUAAGAAGCCCCGGCUAACUACGUGCCAGCAGCCGCGGUAAUACGUAGGGGGCAAGCGUUAUCCGGAUUUACUGGGUGUAAAGGGAGCGUAGACGGUGCGCCAAGUCUGGAGUGAAAGGCGGGGGCCCAACCCCCGAACUGCUCUGGAAACUAUGUGACUGGAGUGCAGGAGAGGUGAGCGGAAUUCCUAGUGUAGCGGUGAAAUGCGUAGAUAUUAGGAGGAACACCAGUGGCGAAGGCGGCUCACUGGACUGUAACUGACGUUGAGGCUCGAAAGCGUGGGGAGCAAACAGGAUUAGAUACCCGGGUAGUC